Molecule: non-coding RNA, 76 nt
Organism: Nowakowskiella sp. JEL0078
Lineage: Eukaryota; Fungi; Chytridiomycota; Chytridiomycetes; Cladochytriales; Nowakowskiellaceae
Source: the annotation of a GenBank genome assembly
UCCACAAAAGCUCAGUCUGGUUGAGCAGCUUUUCAUCGAUUAAAGCAGGACCUAGGUUCAAAUCCUGGUUGUGGCC